RNAcentral lists this ribosomal RNA (432 nucleotides) under uncultured bacterium. RNAcentral's name for it is "partial 16S ribosomal RNA". It matches the Rfam family "Bacterial small subunit ribosomal RNA", at positions 29 to 506 of the family's 1533-position model. The record is from RNAcentral.
AACGAACGCUGGCGGCAUGCCUAACACAUGCAAGUCGAACGAGACCUUCGGGUCUAGUGGCGCACGGGUGCGUAACGCGUGGGAACCUGCCCUUAGGUUCGGAAUAACUCCCCGAAAGGGGUGCUAAUACCGGAUAAUGUCUUCGGACCAAAGAUUUAUCGCCUUUGGAUGGGCCCGCGUUGGAUUAGCUAGUUGGUAGGGUAAAAGCCUACCAAGGCGACGAUCCAUAGCUGGUCUGAGAGGAUGAUCAACCACACUGGGACUGAGACACGGCCCAGACUCCUACGGGAGGCAGCAGUGGGGAAUAUUGGACAAUGGGCGAAAGCCUGAUCCAGCAAUGCCGCGUGAGUGAUGAAGGCCUUAGGGUUGUAAAGCUCUUUUACCCGGGAUGAUAAUGACAGGACCGGGAGAAUAAGCUCCGGCGAACUCCGU